Molecule: ribosomal RNA, 492 nt
Filed under: Arctornis l-nigrum
Lineage: Eukaryota; Metazoa; Arthropoda; Insecta; Lepidoptera; Erebidae
Description: Arctornis lnigrum partial large subunit ribosomal RNA
Source: RNAcentral
UGCCCACUGAUAUAAAAUUAAAGGGCUGCAGUAUUUUGACUGUACAAAGGUAGCAUAAUCAUUAGUCAUUUAAUUGGUGACUUGUAUGAAAGAUUGGAUGAAAUAUAAACUGUCUUUUAAAUAAAUUAUAGAAUUUAAUUUUUUAGUUAAAAAGCUAAAAUAUUUUAAAAAGACGAGAAGACCCUAUAGAGUUUUAUUUAAUAUUUAAUUAAGAUUUUUUAUAAAUCUAAUAAUUUAAAUUUGAUUUUAAAUUUUAUUGGGGUGAUAGAGAAAUUAAAUGAACUUUUUUUUUAUAUAUAUAUAUAUAUAUAUAUAUAUAUAUAUAUAUAUUACAUAAAUAAAUGAAUUAAUGAUCCAGUUUUAUUGAUUAUAAGAGAAAUUACCUUAGGGAUAACAGCGUAAUUUUUUUUUUUAGUUCAAAUAAGAAAAAGAGUUUGCGACCUCGAUGUUGGAUUAAGAUAAAAUUUAAAUGCAGAAGUUUAAAAAUUUUGA